GACGAACGCUGGCGGCGUGCCUAAUACAUGCAAGUAGAACGCUGAAGAGAGGAGCUUGCUCUUCUUGGAUGAGUUGCGAACGGGUGAGUAACGCGUAGGUAACCUGCCUUGUAGCGGGGGAUAACUAUUGGAAACGAUAGCUAAUACCGCAUAACAAUGGAUGACACAUGUCAUUUAUUUGAAAGGGGCAAUUGCUCCACUACAAGAUGGACCUGCGUUGUAUUAGCUAGUAGGUGAGGUAAUGGCUCACCUAGGCGACGAUGCAUAGCCGACCUGAGAGGGUGAUCGGCCACACUGGGACUGGGACACGGCCCAGACUCCUACGGGAGGCAGCAGUAGGGAAUCUUCGGCAAGGGGGGCAACCCUGACCGAGCAACGCCGCGUGAGUGAAGAAGGUUUUCGGAUCGUAAAGCUCUGUUGUAAGUCAAGAACGGGUGUGAGAGUGGAAAGUUCACACUGUGACGGUAGCUUACCAGAAAGGGACGGCUAACUACGUG
This 497-nucleotide ribosomal RNA is filed under the name uncultured bacterium. RNAcentral describes it as "partial 16S ribosomal RNA". It matches the Rfam family "Bacterial small subunit ribosomal RNA", at positions 28 to 507 of the family's 1533-position model. The record is from RNAcentral.